UGGUUCCAAGUUGUAUCGGCCUUUGCCUUUCCCUUGGAUAAUAUCGGCGGUGUGGAGAGGGAAGACUAGGAUUCUUUGGGCACCUGUUGGC
This is a long non-coding RNA of Octopus sinensis (East Asian common octopus), 91 nucleotides long. RefSeq lists it as uncharacterized. NCBI's taxonomy places the organism in Eukaryota, Metazoa, Mollusca, Cephalopoda, Octopoda, Octopodidae. The record is from RefSeq and is a predicted model, not a curated record. The transcript has 3 exons.